ACUUAGUAUGUGUUCCUGCAGUAAAUAUGGACCAAUAGCAAAUUAUAUGUAGUAGGCUUUAGGUGGGCAUCUAGUGAGUUACAGUUUGCCCAUAAAGGAACCUACUUAUAUUU
Small nucleolar RNA from Mercurialis annua (annual mercury), 113 nucleotides. Lineage: Eukaryota; Viridiplantae; Streptophyta; Magnoliopsida; Malpighiales; Euphorbiaceae. The record is from RefSeq and is a predicted model, not a curated record.